GAUGAACGUUGGCGGUGCGCCUAACACAUGCAAGUCGACUGCACUUCGGGUGCAGGGCGGACGGGAGCGUAACACGUAGGAAUUUGCCUCAGACUCAGGCAUAACCCAGAGAAAUCUGGGCUAAUACCGGAUAGUCCCGCGAGGGUAAAGCUUUUGCGGUCUGAGAGAAUCCUGCGUCCUAUCAGCUUGUUGGUAAGGUAACGGCUUACCAAGGCUAUGACGGGUAACUGGUCUGAGAGGACGACCAGUCUCACUGGGACUGAGACACGGCCCAGACUCCUACGGGAGGCAGCAGUGAGGAAUAUUCCACAAUGGGCGAAAGCCUGAUGGAGCGACACCGCGUGCGGGAAGACGGUCUUCGGAUUGUAAACCGCUUUUCUGUGAGAAUACUUCGAAUGUACCACAGGAAUAAGUCACGGCUAAUCACGUGCCAGCAGCUGCGGUAAUACGUGAGUGGCAAACGUUAUCCGGAAUUACUGGGCGUAAAGGGCCCGUAGGGGGUAGUGUAAGUGUGAUGUUAAAUCUACCAGCUCAACUCGUAGACUGCAUUGCAAACUACAUUACUAGAGGUAUGCAGAGGUAAAUGGAAUUCCCAGAGUAGGAGUAAUAUCCGUAGAUACUGGGAGGAACACCAAUAGCGAAGGCAAUUUACUGGGCAUUACCUGACCCUAAAGGACGAAAGCGUGGGGAGCGAACCGGAUUAGAUACCCGGGUAGUCCACGCCCUAAACGAUGGUUACUCGGUGUGUGCGGCCUCGACCCCGUACGUGCCUAAGCUAACGCGUUAAGUAACCCGCCUGUGGAGUACGGCCGCAAGGCUAAAACAUAAAGGAAUUGACGGGGAUCCACACAAGCGGUGGAGCAUGUGGUUUAAUUCGACAAUAAGCGAAGUACCUCACCAGGACUUGACAUCUCCGGAACCCACUAGAAAUAGAGGGGUGCCCGCAAGGGAACCGGAUGACAGGUGCUGCAUGGUCGUCGUCAGCUCGUGUCGUGAGAUGUAGGGUUAAGUCCUCUAACGAGCGCAACCCUCGCUGUAUGUUGUAUUUCUCAUACAGGACUGCCCGUGCAAGCGGGAGGAAGGCGGGGAUGACGUCAGAUCAGCAUGGCUCUUACGUCCUGGGCGACACACGUGCUACAAUGGCCGGCACAACGGGCAGCUAAGGGGUAACCUGGAGCCAAUCCCACAAAGUCGGUCUCAGUUCGGAUUGAGGGCUGCAACUCGCCCUCAUGAAGUUGGAAUCGCUAGUAACCGCGCAUCAGCCACGGCGCGGUGAAUAUGUUCCUGGAUCUUGUACACACCGCCCGUCAUGUCAUGGAAGAUGGGUGCACCAGAAGCUUGCCCGUCUGGGUGAACCAAGGUGAAACCAUUGACUGGG
This 1378-nucleotide ribosomal RNA is filed under the name uncultured bacterium. RNAcentral's name for it is "16S ribosomal RNA". It matches the Rfam family "Bacterial small subunit ribosomal RNA". The record is from RNAcentral.